Molecule: ribosomal RNA, 254 nt
Filed under: uncultured bacterium
Lineage: Bacteria
Description: partial 16S ribosomal RNA
Rfam family: Bacterial small subunit ribosomal RNA
Source: RNAcentral
UACGUAGGGGGCAAGCGUUGUCCGGAUUUAUUGGGCGUAAAAGGCUUGUAGGUGGCCACGCCAAGUCGGAUGUGAAAUCUCCCGGCUCAACUGGGAGGGGUCAUUCGAUACUGGCGGGCUCGAGGCCGGUAGGGGGAAGUGGAAUUCCCGGUGUAGUGGUGGAAUGCGUAGAUAUCGGGAGGAACACCAGUGGCGAAGGCGGGUCUCUGGGCCGAUACUGACGCUGAGGAGCGAAAGCGUGGGGAGCGAACAGG